GGGAGCAGUGCCAAAAUGUCAAAUAUGAACGAGAGGGGUACACUCUCACAGUUGAUAUUGAGAAAGGAAUGCAAGAUGGACAGGUACUUGUUUUUUGGGAUG
Long non-coding RNA from Hibiscus syriacus, 102 nucleotides. RefSeq lists it as uncharacterized. The transcript has 3 exons. Lineage: Eukaryota; Viridiplantae; Streptophyta; Magnoliopsida; Malvales; Malvaceae. The record is from RefSeq and is a predicted model, not a curated record.